This 481-nucleotide ribosomal RNA is filed under the name uncultured Rhodoferax sp. RNAcentral's name for it is "bacterial SSU rRNA". It matches the Rfam family "Bacterial small subunit ribosomal RNA", at positions 903 to 1382 of the family's 1533-position model. Lineage: Bacteria; Pseudomonadati; Pseudomonadota; Betaproteobacteria; Burkholderiales; Comamonadaceae. The record is from RNAcentral.
CUACAAAUGAAUUAACGGGGCCCGCACAAGCGGUGGAGCAUGUGGUUAAUUCGAUGAUACGCGAAGAACCUUACCGGGGUUUGACAUGCAGGUGAUCGCCGUUGAAAGACGGUUUCCUCUUCGGAGGCACCUGCACAGGUGCUGCAUGGCUGUCGUCAGCUCGUGUCGUGAGAUGUUGGGUUAAGUCCCGCAACGAGCGCAACCCUUGUCAUUAGUUGCUACAUUCAGUUGGGGCACUCUAAUGAGACUGCCGGUGACAAGCCGGAGGAAGGUGGGGAUGACGUCAAGUCCUCAUGGCCCUUAUAGGUGGGGCUACACACGUCAUACAAUGGCUGGUACAAAGGGUUGCCAACCCGCGAGGGGGAGCCAAUCCCAUAAAGCCAGUCGUAGUCCGGAUCGUAGUCUGCAACUCGACUACGUGAAGUCGGAAUCGCUAGUAAUCGUGGAUCAGAAUGUCACGGUGAAUACGUUCCCGGGUCUU